RNAcentral lists this long non-coding RNA (625 nucleotides) under Ananas comosus (pineapple). RNAcentral describes it as "long non-coding RNA (ACOM_LNC024409)". Lineage: Eukaryota; Viridiplantae; Streptophyta; Magnoliopsida; Poales; Bromeliaceae. The record is from RNAcentral.
UGACCAAUGAUUGAACAACUAUAACAUCAUAAAUAUUUAAUUAUUAUUUUUAAUUUUAUUAUAUUAUAUUAUUUUUAAUAUCAUAUUUAAUUAUAAAAUAUUAUUUUUUAGAUUAAAUUAUUUAGAUAUAAGUUUUUAAGUCCACUAUUUAUAAGGCUAAUUUAUGCUAAUAAAAAAUAAAAUCAACUAAGUUGAUUUCAAGCCGUUGGAUUUAAUAUGAUUUGAUAAAAAAAAACCGAUUCGAUUAAAAGUGAAUCAGUUUAUUAGUUCUAUGGUUGAAUCGUCGGUUCGAAUGAUUUAAAGCAGUUUUUAGAUUUAUCCAGUUUAAAAAGUUAAACCGCAUUAUUUUAUAGACUGGAUCACAAUCGAACGAGUUGAAUUGGCCGAUUCGAUCCGAUUUUUAAAUCAUUGUCUAGAUCAUAAUUAGUUAAUUCGGAUUCGACAAAAAUUAGGUACAGAUAUAAUACGAAUAAAAUUCAUAUUCCAAUUUUUAGAUUCGUUAAAAAAUACAGUUUAAAAAACAGAUUCGUCAAUUAUUUAGAUACGCGAUUUAUACGAAAAUUAUACUUUCACCGAUUAAUAAUUCGGAAUAAAAAAUUGGGCUAUUAAAUUCUUCCUCCCCAAC